GGCCGAGUAGCUCAGUUGGUAGAGCAGGGGAUUGAAAAUCNNCGUGUCGGCGGUUCGAUUCCGUCCUCGGCCACCA
This 76-nucleotide transfer RNA is filed under the name Stenotrophomonas sp. RNAcentral describes it as "tRNA-Phe". It matches the Rfam family "tRNA". From Rfam's summary of the family: Transfer RNA (tRNA) molecules are approximately 80 nucleotides in length. Their secondary structure includes four short double-helical elements and three loops (D, anti-codon, and T loops). Lineage: Bacteria; Pseudomonadati; Pseudomonadota; Gammaproteobacteria; Lysobacterales; Lysobacteraceae. The record is from RNAcentral.